UACGUAGGUGGCAAGCGUUAUCCGGAUUUACUGGGUGUAAAGGGGGCGCAGACGGCGAUGCAAGCCAGGAGUGAAAGCCCGGGGCCCAACCCCGGGACUGCUCUUGGAACUGCGUGGCUGGAGUGCAGGAGGGGCAGGCGGAAUUCCUGGUGUAGCGGUGAAAUGCGUAGAUAUCACGAAGAACUCCGAUUGCGAAGGCAGCAUACCGGUGCACAACUGACGCUCAGGCACGAAAGCGUGGGUAUCGAACAGG
This 253-nucleotide ribosomal RNA is filed under the name uncultured Eubacteriales bacterium. RNAcentral's name for it is "uncultured Clostridiales bacterium partial 16S ribosomal RNA". It matches the Rfam family "Bacterial small subunit ribosomal RNA", at positions 524 to 776 of the family's 1533-position model. The record is from RNAcentral. Lineage: Bacteria; Bacillati; Bacillota; Clostridia; Eubacteriales.